Molecule: ribosomal RNA, 460 nt
Filed under: uncultured bacterium
Lineage: Bacteria
Description: partial 16S ribosomal RNA
Rfam family: Bacterial small subunit ribosomal RNA
Source: RNAcentral
CCUACGGGAGGCAGCAGUGAGGAAUAUUGGUCAAUGGACGCGAGCCUGAACCAGCCAAGUCGCGUGAGGGAAGACGGUCCUAUGGAUUGUAAACCUCUUUUGUAGGGGAGCAAAAGGCUCCACGUGUGGCGUUCUGUGCGUACCCGAAGAAAAAGCAUCGGCUAACUCCGUGCCAGCAGCCGCGGUAAUACGGAGGAUUCGAGCGUUAUCCGGAUUUAUUGGGUUUAAAGGGAGCGUAGGUGGUUGGUUAAGUUAGAGGUGAAAUCCUGAGGCUCAACGUGGGAAUUGCAGCUGAUACUGUCCGGCUAGAGAGUAGUAGCGGUAGGCGGAAUGGAUGGUGUAGCGGUGAAAUGCUUAGAGAUCAUACAGAACACCGAUUGCGAAGGCAGCUUACCGAGCUACUACUGACGUUGAGGCACGAAAGCGUGGGGAGCAAACAGGAUUAGAUACCCUAGUAGUC